This 372-nucleotide ribosomal RNA is filed under the name uncultured bacterium. Its description in RNAcentral is "bacterial SSU rRNA". It matches the Rfam family "Bacterial small subunit ribosomal RNA", at positions 641 to 1013 of the family's 1533-position model. The record is from RNAcentral.
CUAGAGAUUGAAAGAGGAUAGAGGAAUUCCUAGUGUAGAGGUGAAAUUCGUAAAUAUUAGGAGGAACACCAGUGGCGAAGGCGUCUAUCUGGUUCAAAUCUGACGCUGAGGCGCGAAGGCGUGGGGAGCAAACAGGAUUAGAUACCCUGGUAGUCCACGCUGUAAACGAUGAAUGUUAAAUAUGGGAAGUUUACUUUCUGUAUUANAGNUAACGCGUUAAACAUUCCGCCUGGGGACUACGGUCGCAAGAUUAAAACUCAAAGGAAUUGACGGGGACCCGCACAAGCGGUGGAGCAUGUGGUUUAAUUCGAUGCAACGCGAAAAACCUUACCACUCCUUGACAUGGAAAUUAUACCUAUUCGAAGGGAUAGG